UUGAUCCCCCCCUUGUAAGGGCAUGUGUACAUAAUUGAUGACCCCCCCUACCUCCCCAGAACAAAAUGGGUGAACCCCUCCCCUUAAAAUCAUUA
Long non-coding RNA from Haliotis rubra (blacklip abalone), 95 nucleotides. RefSeq lists it as uncharacterized. Lineage: Eukaryota; Metazoa; Mollusca; Gastropoda; Lepetellida; Haliotidae. The record is from RefSeq and is a predicted model, not a curated record. The transcript is spliced from 3 exons.